Molecule: long non-coding RNA, 557 nt
Filed under: Mytilus galloprovincialis (Mediterranean mussel)
Lineage: Eukaryota; Metazoa; Mollusca; Bivalvia; Mytilida; Mytilidae
Source: RNAcentral
ACAACUUAAGGGGGUUCGCGGGUCUAAAUCAUUUAUAUAGGAUAUCUCUAUAUUUUUCUAUAAAUGAACUUUAUCUUAUAGUUAAUAGAAAAAUAAAAUAAAAAAGUGGGGUCACCGUUCAUUUGCGCUCACAAUCUGCCUUCGAAAGAAGCAUACAUUUUUGUAAAGGUGGUUUUUUUCUGUUGAAGUAAUAGGAGAAAUACAGGUAAUAUCGAUAUAAAAAAAGGAAUUUAUUACAGAAAUCGCUCAAAUUUUACAAUAAUUUAGUUUAAGUACAGCUUAUAUGGAAAUUAUAUUAAAAAAUAUGGGUCACCGGUGAGUUAAAAAAGAUAUUUCAAUUUUAAAGCCAAAAAAUGGCAUUUUUCCACCAAAGGGAGAUAAUUUGGAACUUUUUCAAUGAUGUAUACAUUUUAAAAGUCAUCUGGGGCCAAUACGAAUUGAUUGUUUUGAAUGAUUUUUGUACCAUAUGAUAAAGUAACAACUACAAAAGGUAACAAAUAAAAUUUGUAAUGGAAAACAAAUGUUUAAUUUUUUUCUGAAAUUUUUAUACCCUCGAG